GGCACCCAAACAAACACAGAUUAUUAUUGAAAAAAUAGCUAUUAUGAUGUACACUCAUCUCUACAUUUUUAGCAAGAAAACACCUAGACUAGUGCUACUUCUCUAUGAUGUUGGGAUAGCUUUUUCUGUAAGUUGAUAUGAAAUUUUUUGUUUUAAUGUAUUACUAAGGGCUAUGGGAAGCAAGUGGCCUACUGUGUGCUUCUGCAAUUUACUUACCUGCUUUUUUUAUAUCUGUGUUUAUUGAUUUUUAUUCACUUCAAAGACUCUUUACCACCAUAUAUCAUGUUGAGACAGUGUUUUAUUUAUUUAGUGUGCCUUGAUCUUUGGUUUAUCGUGUGUUUGCUCAUAUUUUUGUUUAUUGCAAACAAAAAGGUACUUUUUAUGUUGCUGGCAGUUUUGGUUGCCUUAGGAGAACUGUCUUAGAUGAGAGGCUAAAAUACGACGAGUUCUCUACUGCAGUAUUGAUUAGAACCUUGUUUCACCAAAAUUUUCAGGCUGGGAUUAGUGACUUCCAGAAGACAAUUCAUCUAUUGGUUUCUUUGAAGGUUAUAGAGAAGUGGUAUUACUUAAGAACAUUAAGAGUCUGUAUGCUUGUGGAGGUGUGAAUUUGUAAUAUUGUGUCUAUAUAUGUAUCAUGUAUUAUAUUAUGCACCUUAUUUUAAGUGUGAAAUUUAUUAGGAAGAAAUUUUCUUUGAUGCAAUUAUUGAGAUUUUCUAUUGGAAUACUUCGUGGCUAGUUUGUUCGAGCAAAAUUGUAUUUUGAGAGUUGAGAUUGAACAAGAUUUGUAAUAAGAUUUGUUAUUAUGAAUGUAAUAAAAUGCUUCAUUAUUGGUAGUAUAGCUAACCCUGGUUAAUAUGUAGGUGGUUAAUAGACUUGGUUAAGUGUGUAUUAGGUGUCUUAACUUGUACAUACAUAACCUCAGCUUUGUGUUGUGUAUAAGUGAAUACAUUUUUAAUAACACUCAUGAUUAUUCUUUCUUCUCUAAGAAACCCUUUCUUCUCUGCAUACCAUUUUGCAUUCUGCGUUUAGCCCAUUCUUGCUUUCUUGCCCCUUUAGUGUAUGCUUCGCCCUCCGAUUCUUGGCCUUUAGAUAUCCAACAUGGUAUUUAAAGCCAAGUUUCUGACCUUUCUCCUUCCCUGAAUUCUUUCCCCAAUUUUUUUUCUUUACCAUGGAAAUCUCUCUUUCUGAUUCAAUAAACAAAAGGCAUUUUCCCCAAUUACUGAUAAACUCAAUGGAAACAACUAUUCCACAUGGCGCUAUCAAGCUUUAUUGACAAUUCAGUCUUAGCAUGGAGUAUCAUCUCUUAGCAUCCAAGAUUCUUGAACAAUUUAUCUCUGAUGCAACCAAGAAGUCUACAACAAAAUCUGAUUCCUUCAAAACAUGGAAGCUCUAAGAUCUGACACUUUCUACCUGGAUUGUGGCUUCUAUGACCACUCCCUUCCAAAACAGAGUCAUUGGCUCCACGUGGUUCUAUGAAAUUUGGGAAAAAAUAGAUACAUACUUCAUUGCUAUUGCCAAUUCCAGAAUUCAAACUCUCAAAUUGCAAUUGAAAUCUACCAAGAAGAUUGCUUCUACAUCAGAAUAUCUUGCACAAAUUAAAAAGAUUGUGGAUUCCCUCUUUGCAAUAGGAUAUGUAGUACCUGAUGAUGAUCAUCUUUAGGCAAUACUUGAUGGUCUCUUUGAAAAAUACUAACUUUACAUUGGUUCAGUCAUGUCAAAAUUAGGUUCCUAUCAAGUAGUAGAUGUAGAAUCCUAUAUCUCAACCUUUGAAAACAACAUUGCCUAUAGCUAAUCCUGCUCAAUACUCUAUGUCAUUCAAUGAUGGAAGAGGUGGAUUUUCUUGUCUUGGAUGUGGUGGCCGGAAUACAAGAGGAGGAGGCAAGUUUGGUUAUGCUAACCACAAUGCCAACUCUGUGGUCGAGUUGUAUAAUAUGGAGUUGUUAACUUGUUAUCACCUAUUUGAUACUUCUUUUACUCCACAAUCCAACAAUUAUUCUUCUCAGUUUUAUAUUCCAUAUGGAAACUCCCAAUCACCUCUUCCACCACCCACAUUUCAUUAGCCUCGUGCCUAUAUCUCCACUCCACCAUCCAUUAGUGAAACUACUUGGCCCCUGAUUCAAGUGCUAGCCAACAUAUCACCAAUGAUGCUUCUAACUUGUUAAUUUCAUCCUCAACCUAACCUAAUUCAGAUCAAUUAUUUGUCAGAAAUGGUAUAGGUAUCAGUAUCACAAAAUCAUGUUCUACUAUCUUAACUGACUCUCACACUAAUUUUGCUUUUAGUUUGAAUAACUUGCUCUUUGUUCCUGAAAUAACACAAUCUUAUGAGUGUAUCUAAAUUUGCCGUAGACAAUACUUUUUUGAAUUUUGGCCUAACUUUGUUGUGAUUUGUGACCAGGCUACCCAGGAGCAUCUUCUCCAAGGUGUAACUAAGAAUGGAAUCUACUCCUUUGAUCAUCUUUAUGUGCCUAUAAUUCUUCACUCCAACACAUAUGAUCUGCAUUCAUCUACUCCUGCUAAAAGUCAUAGCAUUAGUGUUAUAGCUCAAGUUAACAAUGUUUACCCCUUUAAUUCUUGCAAAUUUAAUUUUCUCUAUAUUUAGAGAUAAUAAUGCUACUAUUUUCUCUUGUAAUAAGACAUCAAAUGUUGAAUUGUGGCACAAAAUAUUGGCCACUGUGCAAUAA
Non-coding RNA from Arachis ipaensis, 2681 nucleotides. The record is from RefSeq and is a predicted model, not a curated record. Lineage: Eukaryota; Viridiplantae; Streptophyta; Magnoliopsida; Fabales; Fabaceae.